Molecule: ribosomal RNA, 440 nt
Filed under: uncultured bacterium
Lineage: Bacteria
Description: partial 16S ribosomal RNA
Rfam family: Bacterial small subunit ribosomal RNA
Source: RNAcentral
CCUACGGGCGGCAGCAGUAGGGAAUUUUGCGCAAUGGGCGAAAGCCUGACGCAGCAACGCCGCGUGAUCGAGACGCCCUUCGGGGUGUAAAGAUCUGUCAGUGGGGACGAAACUUGACGGUACCCACAGAGGAAGCACCGGCUAACUCCGUGCCAGCAGCCGCGGUAAUACGGGGGGUGCAAGCGUUGUCCGGAAUCAUUGGGCGGAAAGAGUUCGUAGGCGGCACGUAGAGUCUGGUGUUAAAGGCAGAGGCUUAACUUCUGUACGGCACUGGAUACUGGCGAGCUAGAAUGCAGUAGAGGUGAAGGGAAUUCCUGGUGGAGCGGUGAAAUGCUUAGAUAUCAGGAGGAACAGCGGGGGCGUAAGCGCUUAACUGGGCCGUAAUUGACGCUGAGGAUCGAAAGCCAGGGUAGCAAAUGGGAUUAGAUACCAUUGUAGUC